UUAUUCUUCUGUCAAAAGCACCCAGUCACAUUGCAAGUGGAAAAAUUCGUUGCAAAGAACUUUUCCAAGUCUCUCAAGUUCUCGUGGACUUUACCUCGGACAUUUUUGCGCACUGCCGCACCUGAUGAGAUGCAACGUCAAACAGCCCUGGAAUAUUCUCUCUGAUAUUUUUUCGUAUUCCCUUCAACGGGCACCAGGGCACGGUUUUUUAAAUUAAA
This is a long non-coding RNA of Fopius arisanus, 218 nucleotides long. RefSeq lists it as uncharacterized. The transcript is spliced from 2 exons. NCBI's taxonomy places the organism in Eukaryota, Metazoa, Arthropoda, Insecta, Hymenoptera, Braconidae. The record is from RefSeq and is a predicted model, not a curated record.